Long non-coding RNA from Phyllopteryx taeniolatus (common seadragon), 738 nucleotides. RefSeq lists it as uncharacterized. The record is from RefSeq and is a predicted model, not a curated record. NCBI's taxonomy places the organism in Eukaryota, Metazoa, Chordata, Actinopteri, Syngnathiformes, Syngnathidae. The transcript has 6 exons.
UUUCUGAAAGAUGUCUCAUGGCCGCCGCAUAACUUGAUAAAAAAGGCUUCCGUGUCCAAAAGGUGAACCACAAAAGGACGACAGGCUCGUGGCUUCAUCCGCCUCAGCAGGAUUCAUCUCGAGAAAGAGUCAUUUCACUUUCUUCUAGUUUGGGGGCAAGAGGGGACGCUAUGGAUGCUGGGACUAUUGCAGUCCUUCUAGCGACCAUGGCAUUUGGCAUGUCUUUUGGUGGAAAUGUACUACUAAAUGAAAAUGGAACAACCGUCAACGUGUCUCUUGUGAUGACCUUGGAGGAAGCUUUUGUGGAAGAGUUAAACAAUCGUAGCAGUGAACAACACAAAAGUCUUGAAGCACAAGUGGUAUCAAUGUGUGACUUCAUCUAUAUCAAAGAAUUUAGAACUAAUUUCAUUAAAACCACCUUCAUUGGAUUUAGUCCAAAAAUGGGAAACACGCAAGUGGAAGUGGCACUGAAGUUCAGCAAUACAUCGUCUGAUCAAAUCCCAAAAGACGAUGUAGUUGUAAACAUAUUGCUACAGGUUGUGAAUAGUACAAGCAACCCUUUCAAAUUCACCGUUGUUCGAGAAACGGCAAAAGUAAUUUCACCAGAAGAAUCAACAACGAGUGGACCGAUAACAACUUCGGUAAUCUCAAUUCCCUUACCAGUUGUGUCUCUUGGAGCCACUCUGGUGGAACCUUUUGUGGAAGAAUUGAACAAUCGCAGCAGUGAACAAUACAAAG